ACGGGGUGCAGCAGGCGCGAAACCUUUGCAAUGUGCGAAAGCACGACAAGGUUAAUCCGAGUGUCUCCCGCUAAAGGAGUCUUUUGUCAGUUGUAGAAUCACUGAUGAAUAAGGGGUGGGCAAGUUCUGGUGUCAGCCGCCGCGGUAAAACCAGCACCUCGAGUGGUCAGGAGGUUUAUUGGGCCUAAAGCAUCCGUAGCCGGUUGCAUAAGUUUUCGGUUAAAUCUAUGCGCUCAACGUAUAGGCCGCCGAAAAUACUGUGCAGCUAGGGAGUGGGAGAGGUACACGGUACUCAAUAGGAAGGGGUAAAAUCCUUUGAUCUAUUGAUGACCACCUGUGGCGAAGGCGGUGUACCAGAACACGUUCGACGGUGAGGGAUGAAAGCUGGGGGAGCAAACCGGAUUAGAUACCCGGGUAGUCCCAGCUGUAAACGAUGCAGACUCGGUGAUGCAUUGGCUUGUGGCCAAUGCAGUGCCGCAGGGAAGCCGUUAAGUCUGCCGCCUGGGAAGUACGUACGCAAGUAUGAAACUUAAAGGAAUUGGCGGGGGAGCAC
Molecule: ribosomal RNA, 553 nt
Filed under: uncultured Nitrososphaerota archaeon
Lineage: Archaea; Thermoproteati; Nitrososphaerota
Description: bacterial SSU rRNA
Rfam family: Archaeal small subunit ribosomal RNA
Source: RNAcentral